GCGGGGGUGUCCGAGCAAGGUCUAAGGAGCCGGACUUAAGAUCCGGUGGCCAUAGGGCCUCCGUGGGUUCAAAUCCCACCCCCCGCACCA
Molecule: transfer RNA, 90 nt
Filed under: candidate division MSBL1 archaeon SCGC-AAA385D11
Lineage: Archaea; Methanobacteriati; Methanobacteriota
Description: tRNA-Leu
Rfam family: tRNA
About the family: Transfer RNA (tRNA) molecules are approximately 80 nucleotides in length.
Source: RNAcentral